This is a long non-coding RNA of Lutra lutra (Eurasian river otter), 1294 nucleotides long. RefSeq lists it as uncharacterized. The record is from RefSeq and is a predicted model, not a curated record. The transcript is spliced from 3 exons. NCBI's taxonomy places the organism in Eukaryota, Metazoa, Chordata, Mammalia, Carnivora, Mustelidae.
AAGUCACAGUGACUUUUGGAAUUUUGUCGUCCAUGGAUUGGGUAACAUUUGAAUAAUGACAUUUUCCUCGCUGGGCUAUUGGGGAGUUAAGUGAGAUCAUGUAUGCCUGAAAACACCCAAGUCACUGCAGAAAAUGGAGGGAGUGCAGCUUGAACGAGCUGGUUCUUUUCCUAAAUCCUUCAUCCUGGGACAUGCAAGCCAGCUUCUCCUGCCUCAGUGGGGAAGCCCUGGAUCUCUGGGAGCCUAUUAGCUGAGCCAAGUGGAGAGUUAAACAUCCAAACUGACAAGGGGGUGCAGAGCUAUUUCAGAGCACCCCACUGCCCCAGCAGAUGGUUCUGGGCCAGAUGGCUCCAGAGCAUGGGGCAAGGGGGAGGCAGCCAGGUGUUUAUUGUGGCAGCAGAGAUGUGAAAGGAAGAGUUCACUUGUCUACCUCCCUGCUCUCCCUCGGAUUUCUACUCCAGAGGGGCCACUGCCCAGCCCUGACAGAUGUGCAGUCUGGGAAGGUUUCCAGGUGCAGUGUUGGAGACACCCGAGCUUUAAUAAUCUCCAAUGCCGAAUUAUUCACUCUGUGACCCUGUCAUUUGGAGAAUACAUUGGAUGCUGGCGGAUUCACCAUACAGUACCUCAUUAGUUUUUGAACUCUUCAAAGAGAACCAAACAGCCAUCAAAUUCAAACCUGUCUGCUCCCACAAGAAACUUUCUUCCCUUGGAGCUGACAGAGAGCCCAAAGAGAGGGCGGAUCCCAGGGCCGGAAAAUCGGAAAUUCACUGUGCCUCACAGAGCAGGCGGCUUCUCCAGUCAUGACUGCUACGCUGCUCGAAAGAAAGGUUCAGGGAACCUGCCUUUGUGAUUGGUUGACACCUGCACAACGUUCAGUCCAUGCGGCAAGUGUAGCAACCAGCACCAGAAAUGUCAGCUCUCAUUAGCCGGCAUAUAAAUCUGCCUCCCUGAGAAGUGGGAUGAGAGAACCACAGAGAAAAUGCCAGGAAGCAGGAACAUAUGUUGAUCACACAAAGAGAAGCUCCGACAAUGGGCGUCUUCCUCCACAGCCCAGGCACCUGGAAGGCUUUGUUUUGCCUCAGCCCUUGGUGCCCCCGUAACAGGAGGCUGGGCAAAUGUGUUCCACCAUCCGUGGUGGGAGGUUCUGCUAAGUGUUUGCUGACACAGCUGAACAGUCGUAAAAUGUCAUAAAGAGUAAAUGACUUGAUAAUGCAAACCAGUAAUUACCAUGUGGUACAUGUUCAUGCUAUUUACAUAUUUUAACACCCUGGUAUUAACCUGCCUUUCCAAAUAG